RNAcentral lists this ribosomal RNA (497 nucleotides) under uncultured bacterium. RNAcentral describes it as "partial 16S ribosomal RNA". It matches the Rfam family "Bacterial small subunit ribosomal RNA", at positions 28 to 507 of the family's 1533-position model. The record is from RNAcentral.
GAUGAACGCUGGCGGCGUGCCUAAUACAUGCCAGUCGAGCGAACGGACGAGAAGCUUGCUUCUCUGAUGUUAGCGGCGGACGGGUGAGUAACACGUGGAUAACCUACCUAUAAGACUGGGAUAACUUCGGGAAACCGGAGCUAAUACUGGAUAAUAUUUUGAACCGCAUGGUUCAAAAGUGAAAGACGGUCUUGCUGUCACUUAUAGAUGGAUCCGCGCUGCAUUAGCUAGUUGGUAAGGUAACGGCUUACCAAGGCAACGAUGCAUAGCCGACCUGAGAGGGUGAUCGGCCACACUGGAACUGAGACACGGUCCAGACUCCUACGGGAGGCAGCAGUAGGGAAUCUUCCGCAAUGGGCGAAAGCCUGACGGAGCAACGCCGCGUGAGUGAUGAAGGUCUUCGGAUCGUAAAACUCUGUUAUUAGGGAAGAACAUAUGUGUAAGUAACUGUGCACAUCUUGACGGUACCUAAUCAGAAAGCCACGGCUAACUACGUG